UGCGUAAGCGGCCGCUUAAGUAGGGUGUGAAGUGUCCCGGCUCAACCGGGGAAUGGCGCUCUAAACUGGGUGGCUCGAGUGAGAUAGAGGUGUGCGGAACUUCCGGUGGAGCGGUGAAAUGUGUUGAUAUCGGAAGGAACACCAUUGGCGAAAGCGGCACACUGGGUCUUAACUGACGCUGAGGCACGAAAGCCAGGGGAAGGCAAACG
RNAcentral lists this ribosomal RNA (209 nucleotides) under uncultured bacterium. RNAcentral's name for it is "partial 16S ribosomal RNA". It matches the Rfam family "Bacterial small subunit ribosomal RNA", at positions 568 to 774 of the family's 1533-position model. The record is from RNAcentral.